AACAAAAAUCCAAUGAGAAAUAGAAACUGAGUAAUUGAUAUAU
RNAcentral lists this non-coding RNA (43 nucleotides) under Trypanosoma brucei brucei. The record is from RNAcentral. Lineage: Eukaryota; Euglenozoa; Kinetoplastea; Trypanosomatida; Trypanosomatidae.